AUUGAACGCUGGCGGCAGGCCUAACACAUGCAAGUCGAGCGGAUGAAGGGAGCUUGCUCCUGGAUUCAGCGGCGGACGGGUGAGUAAUGCCUAGGAAUCUGCCUGGUAGUGGGGGAUAACGUCCGGAAACGGGCGCUAAUACCGCAUACGUCCUGAGGGAGAAAGUGGGGGAUCUUCGGACCUCACGCUAUCAGAUGAGCCUAGGUCGGAUUAGCUAGUUGGUGGGGUAAAGGCCUACCAAGGCGACGAUCCGUAACUGGUCUGAGAGGCUGAUCAGUCACACUGGAACUGAGACACGGUCCAGACUCCUACGGGAGGCAGCAGUGGGGAAUAUUGGACAAAGGGCGAAAGCCUGAUCCAGCCAUGCCGCGUGUGUGAAGAAGGUCUUCGGAUUGUAAAGCACUUUAAGUUGGGAGGAAGGGCAGUAAGUUAAUACCUUGCUGUUUUGACGUUACCAACAGAAUAAGCCCCGGCUAACUUCGUG
RNAcentral lists this ribosomal RNA (484 nucleotides) under uncultured bacterium. RNAcentral describes it as "partial 16S ribosomal RNA". It matches the Rfam family "Bacterial small subunit ribosomal RNA", at positions 30 to 507 of the family's 1533-position model. The record is from RNAcentral.